GUGCUCAUGUCGGCAACACACAUACUAAAAUUGGAAAGAUAUGGGGAAUAUUAACAUGGCCCCUGAACAAGGGUGACAUGCAAAUUCGUGAAGCAUUCCAUAUUUUU
This is a small nuclear RNA of Lemur catta (Ring-tailed lemur), 107 nucleotides long. The record is from RefSeq and is a predicted model, not a curated record. NCBI's taxonomy places the organism in Eukaryota, Metazoa, Chordata, Mammalia, Primates, Lemuridae.